GAUGAACGCUGGCGGCGUGCCUAAUACAUGCAAGUCGAGCGAACGGACGAGAAGCUUGCUUCUCUGAUGUUAGCGGCGGACGGGUGUGUAACACGUGGAUAACCUACCUAUAAGACUGGGAUAACUUCGGGAAACCGGAGCUAAUACCGUAUAAUAUUUUGAACCGCAUGGUUCAAAAGUGAAAGACGGUCUUUCUGUCACUUAUAGAUGGAUCCGCGCUGCAUUAGCUAGUUGGUAAGGUAACGGCUUACCAAGGCAACGAUGCAUAGCCGACCUGAGAGGGUGAUAGGCCACACGGGAGCGGAGACACGGUCCAGACUCCUACGGGACGCAGCAGUAGGGUAUCUUCCGCAAUGGGCGAAAGCCUGACGGAGCAACGCCGCGUGAGUGAUGAAGGUCUUCGGAUCGUAAAACUCUGUUAUUAGGGAAGAACAUAUGUGUAAGGAACUGUGCACAUCUUGACGGUACCUAAUCAGAAAGCCACGGCUAACUACGUG
This 497-nucleotide ribosomal RNA is filed under the name uncultured bacterium. RNAcentral describes it as "partial 16S ribosomal RNA". It matches the Rfam family "Bacterial small subunit ribosomal RNA", at positions 28 to 507 of the family's 1533-position model. The record is from RNAcentral.